ACUCCUACGGGAGGCAGCAGUGGGGAAUAUUGGACAAUGGGGGGAACCCUGAUCCAGCCAUGCCGCGUGUGUGAAGAAGGCCUUUUGGUUGUAAAGCACUUUAAGCGAGGAGGAGGCUCCUGUAGAUAAUACCUACAGUGAGUGGACGUUACUCGCAGAAUAAGCACCGGCUAACUCUGUGCCAGCAGCCGCGGUAAUACAGAGGGUGCGAGCGUUAAUCGGAUUUACUGGGCGUAAAGCGUGCGUAGGCGGCUUCGUAAGUUGG
Molecule: ribosomal RNA, 265 nt
Filed under: uncultured bacterium
Lineage: Bacteria
Description: partial 16S ribosomal RNA
Rfam family: Bacterial small subunit ribosomal RNA
Source: RNAcentral